ACAGGUGUGGGGGCAAUUUUGUUGGAUCAACCAAACCCAGCGUUUUAUAAAUUAUAUUGGCAUUCAAGACUACACUAGGAAAUACUGUACUCAAUAAAACAAUGGGUAAAGUCAAAUUUAUACGAAAGUGGACCUAACUGAUAAUACACUUGAUUGAUGUGAGAUCUUAUAAAAGGAAUAUAAAUGCGUAUAAUUCUUCAUAUAUUUAGUUUGGUUUGAUUUCUGUUAACAACUGAAUAACACUAU
RNAcentral lists this long non-coding RNA (246 nucleotides) under Brassica napus (rape). Its description in RNAcentral is "long non-coding RNA (BNAP_LNC020306)". The record is from RNAcentral. Lineage: Eukaryota; Viridiplantae; Streptophyta; Magnoliopsida; Brassicales; Brassicaceae.